Molecule: non-coding RNA, 153 nt
Filed under: Platyophrya macrostoma
Lineage: Eukaryota; Ciliophora; Colpodea; Cyrtolophosidida; Platyophryidae
Source: RNAcentral
CAUCAAAACAUAAGAAAACAGUUAUGAUGUGUGUGUGUGUGUAACAAGAAGCCAAAAGCAAACUAAUAUAAAAGACACACGGUUUGUUGCUUUUAUUUUUUUACCAGAAGAAAAUGAAAAAAAAAAAGAAGAAAAAAAAUGACUUGCGUGGUU